RNAcentral lists this ribosomal RNA (381 nucleotides) under uncultured bacterium. Its description in RNAcentral is "bacterial SSU rRNA". It matches the Rfam family "Bacterial small subunit ribosomal RNA", at positions 28 to 402 of the family's 1533-position model. The record is from RNAcentral.
GACGAACGCUGGCGGCGUGCCUAACACAUGCAAGUGGAGCGACGAACCAGGCUUCGGCCUGGGGCAAAGCCGCGAACGGGUGAGUAACACGUGGGUAACCUGCCCCGAUGAUUGGGACAACCCGAGGAAACUCGGGCUAAUACCGAAUGUGCCCUCCGACCGCAAGGUCACUGGGGAAAGGAAGCUUCGGCCUCCGCAUCGGGAUGGGCCCGCGGCCCAUUAGCUUGUUGGUGAGGUAACGGCUCACCAAGGCGACGAUGGGUAGCUGGUCUGAGAGGACGAUCAGCCACACUGGGACUGAGACACGGCCCAGACUCCUACGGGAGGCAGCAGUGGGGAAUCUUGCGCAAUGCGCGAAAGCGUGACGCAGCAACGCCGCGU